CUCCGGGGGCGAGGAUAAUACAGUUACGAUCGCACACGUAGGAGGUCUCCUUCUUCUGCUCGUCAGCGGUGUCAUCAUAUCCUGUCUAAUCUUAUUGGUGGAGUUUGCUGUACAUAAAUACAUGGUGCCGAACCUACGUAAAGUGCCGAAACAUCGACGGGACUGCCUCGUUCUAAGCCAGAGAUUGCACCAUGAGAUCAACUCUGACUAUAAAGUGAGAUCCUCAGCCAAUAUGAGGGAGCUACUCACGCUCGUCAAGCAGGGG
This is a long non-coding RNA of Asterias rubens (European starfish), 265 nucleotides long. RefSeq lists it as uncharacterized. The record is from RefSeq and is a predicted model, not a curated record. Lineage: Eukaryota; Metazoa; Echinodermata; Asteroidea; Forcipulatida; Asteriidae. The transcript is spliced from 3 exons.